This 1203-nucleotide ribosomal RNA is filed under the name Physiphora sp. YSUW04028. RNAcentral's name for it is "partial 16S ribosomal RNA". The record is from RNAcentral. Lineage: Eukaryota; Metazoa; Arthropoda; Insecta; Diptera; Ulidiidae.
UCAAUAUAAAUUGAUUAAGAUUUAUUUAUUUAUUUUAUUUUGUUUAUUUUAAGAUAUUAAAAAUAAUUAUAUGAAUUAUAGUUUUAGUAGUUUUUAACGAAUAAAUAAUUUUUAUGAUAGUGAAUUAGUAACGUGAGUGAAAAUUGAAAUAUUUUGAAAAAUUUUUAUUAUAUAAGAAGACUUUAUUUGUCGCACCUUGUGUAUCAGGGUUUAUUAAUUAAUUAAUAAUUAUCUAUUAUUCUCGAUUUUAUAAGAGUUAAUAAACUAUAAAAGUUAAUGUGUCAAAAUUAUUUUUAAUAGUUUAUUAGAAAUGAAAUGUUAUUCGUUUAUAAAGGUAUCUAGUUUUUCUAGAAAUAAAUUUAAUUUACAGUAUUUAAAUAUAUUAUUUAUUUAGAUAGGUGAUAUAUUUUUUAUACUGAAUUUUUUAGGGGAUAAGCUCUAAAGAAAAAGUUUAAAAAUAUUAAAGGUUUAAUUGAAAUGUAUGUAUAGAAUUUGCAAUCAUUUAUAAGUUUGUUAUAAAUUAUUUAUUUUCGACUAUUAUUUAAUUUGUUUUAAAUUUUUUAUAGAAAUAUUUACUUUAAUUUUAUAAGUUAAGUAAUAACGAUAAAAUUAGUAUAUGUAUUCUAUCAAUAAAUUUAUUUGAUAAGUUUAUAUAAAGAACUCGGCAAAUAUAUAAUGCCCGCCUGUUUAACAAAAACAUGUCUUUUUGAGAUUUAAUUUAAAGUCUAGCCUGCCCAAUGAAUUAUUUUGAAUGGCCGCAGUAUACUAACUGUGCAAAGGUAGCAUAAUCAUUAGUCUUUUAAUUGAAGCUGGUAUGAAUGGUUGGACGAGGUAUAAGCUGUUUCAUAUGAAUUUAUGAUAGAAUUUUAUUUUUCAGUCAAAGAGCUGAAAUUUAUUUAAAAGACGAGAAGACCCUAUAAAUCUUUAUAUUUAAUAGUAUUUAAGUUUUUUAGAUUUAUUUUAUUUUUAUAUUAUUAACUAUUUUAUUGGGGUGAUAUUAAAAUUUAAUGAACUUUUAAUUUGUUAAAACAUUAAUUUAUGAGUAAUUGAUCCAUUAGUAGUGAUUAGAAGAUUAAGUUACUUUANGGAUAACAGCGUAAUUUUCUUGGAGAGUUCAUAUCGAUAAGAAAGAUUGCGACCUCGAUGUUGGAUUAAGAUAUAAUUUUAGGUGUAGCCGCUUAAAUUUUGAGUCUGUUCGACUCU